Molecule: ribosomal RNA, 164 nt
Filed under: Neurolaena lobata
Lineage: Eukaryota; Viridiplantae; Streptophyta; Magnoliopsida; Asterales; Asteraceae
Description: 5.8S ribosomal RNA
Rfam family: 5.8S ribosomal RNA
About the family: 5.8S ribosomal RNA (5.8S rRNA) is a component of the large subunit of the eukaryotic ribosome.
Source: RNAcentral
UGAACGACUCUCGGCAACGGAUAUCUCGGCUCAUGCAUCGAUGAAGAACGUAGCAAAAUGCGAUACUUGGUGUGAAUUGCAGAAUCCCGUGAACCAUCGAGUCUUUGAACGCAAGUUGCGCCCGAAGCCAUUUGGUUGAGGGCACGCCUGCUUGGGUGUCACGC